RNAcentral lists this long non-coding RNA (1825 nucleotides) under Phasianus colchicus (ring-necked pheasant). RNAcentral describes it as "lncRNA (ENSPCLG00000010400.1)". Lineage: Eukaryota; Metazoa; Chordata; Aves; Galliformes; Phasianidae. The record is from RNAcentral.
UACUUAUACAUGGAAGAAACAACAAUAAAAUGACUAUGUCUGUUCCUGUUGUUUGCUAGAUUUGAGUAUGAGAAGUAUAAUUCACUUGUAGUCAAAGGAGGUUUUUGUAAUGUAUAUUUAAAAGCAAAAUUUGACACAAAGCAAGAGAUGAUGUCAAGCAACCUUUUCUUUUUGAAUGUAGUGCCCUUCUGCUAGAACUAAGAUGCAGAUAAUAUAAAAUGCAAUUCUGAGAACCUUACAGGAAUGCUGUUGAAGAGCAAGUAUAAAUUAUGAUGAAUUUAUGCAUUUGUGAAGAUUAACUUGAAGAGAAUACAGAGAUGGUUGCCUUUGGGAUGGAUGAAAGCUGCUGUGCUCACUGUGCUAUAUACAGAGCAAGUAACCCACUUUACAAGAAGAAAACUUCUGUGAUCAAGACAUGAAGAAAGAUGGCAACAACAGACGAAGUAUUGCUCUCAGAAGCAUUCUGAAAGAGCCAUUCCACAGGUGAACAAUCAUUAUGGAAAAGGGGUAUUUCCAGGGCAACUUGUUUCUAUGAUACUAGUGCCAUAUGCAUUUGACCAUAGUAUAGAUUUAGGCCUUGGAUUUCAGUGGCCUUUCAGUAUAGCCUUUGACUGUAUACACUGCCACAGCACUGUUUUCAAAAGCAGGUCCUUCAUGGAAUCCUUCAGCAGCACUAAUGAGGACACCAGCGUCUAUAUCCCAAUGGAUGUAGCCUCCCAGUUUCUUUCCUUGGGCCAGAUCACCUCUUACAACCUGCUGCUAAGGCACCCAGGACAACAACAACAGGAAAUUCCUCCAGUCUUUCCUCCAGCUGUGAUUGCUUGAUGACAGUGCCCCAUCUUACCCAGAGAUCAUUGUUGUGCACCAGCUCUGCACCUGAGGUUGCUGUAUGAAUUACACCCUGAAGCAGACACUACCAUACUGAGAAAUGUUCCAAGCAGAACAAUUCUCUAUUUCACUGAUAUCAGUUGAAAAAUGAAUGUCACUGCAAUUUAUUAAUCCUGACAUUGGCUCUCCAUGAAAUACAAAGUCAUAUUCCAUGUCUCAGUGUUAAUCUUUAAUAUCCACAAAGGAGUUGGCACAGAUGGUCAAGACAGUUUCUCCCUGAUGGGAGUGAAAUCCUGAAACAGCUGCUUUCCAAAGAAGCUAUGAAAAUGUCACUUUUGAGGCUGACGGUGGAAAUGAGAAGAAAAGGGGGGCAUUUUGACUCUAGAGUUGUCCUGACUCUAGGGUGGGAAGGUCAGGAAGGCUGGGCCCUUGCAAUAUUCAGCACAAAAUGUGCAUCCUCAACAUGGCUUGCUGCACGGCUUGCUGCACAAAUGGGAAGGAGAAGGGGCCUAAUCGACACAGAAGCAGAAGUGAGAGCAGGGAACAGAGUUCAGGGAAAAAAUGUAAUUUAUGUUAUUGUGGAAGAUAUAUCUAGCCAGACUGAAAGAUAAGUAUCUAAAUUUUAUGUUAUUUCUCUUUUCUUGCUAAAUCCUCAGGUUGAUGGAGUCUUUCAGUACUCUUGUAUUCACUGUUCUUCCACUGACAGAAAAUAGUGUCUUGCCACUAUGUGAAGACACAGAUAUCUGUAUUUUGUCCACUGCUGAAGAAUUAAGCCCUUAUUUUGUGCGCCUUAGGUGAAAAAAAAAAGGACUGUGUGGCUUUUACUCAUAUUCAUUUAAUUACAGAUAAGAGAGUUGAAAAAAAUGUAGUAAAGGAAAAAAUUUGGAUUAAAAUCAAACACACCUAAAAAGUUCUGUGUCUUUAAGAUCCUGAGGGAAAACAGGGAUGUAAGAUAUUGUUAUGACAAGACAAUUUAUGCAUUUAAAUUGUGCAUUUU